UCCUCCCUCUGCGGGCGGCGGCGGCCGGCGCGCCCUGAGUCCGCGGUGCCCCCCGCAGACCCCACGCGGGCGACUGGAAAGAAACACCGAGGGUCCGGAGGUGGGCGCACUGGGGAACGGCGGGCAGAACUGUCAGGCAACCUCUGCCUGAGGGUCUCUUCCUUCUCAGCACCCCCAACACGCUCUGCCACAUCCUGGCUGGCAGACCACUGUCACACCAGGCUUCCAAACACCUUCUCUAUACCUGGCUCUGGAGAAACGGCAGGAAGCAAAAACGAGAGCUCCGAACCUCAAGGCUCCGGGAAUUUGGUACAACCAGCAGCUGGAGGAGGGUCCAAGACCCCCUCACAGGCACCCUAGGGGGCUUCUCAAAGGAAACACCCUACACUGUACUGGUAGAGAAACCAGCGUAGUGACCACCCCUUAAGCCUACAGAGUGAAAGAGGCUCCGUUCUUUGCUUUCAACUCUUAGAUUAUAAGGAGGUUAAUACUGCAAAUAUCCUGGUUUCUCAAGGUUCCAGAACUCAGGAGAGAGGUUUAAAGUACUGUUACUAUACAGGGCUGGGGCAGCUUUGUGGGGGACGACGGGCAGCCAUAACUCUCACCUAUGGGCUUUGAGCCUACACAGAUAUUUCCAACCAAUUUACCACCAUGAGCAUCCUAACCACAAGUUGGUUACCCAAAACUCUCUCAGCUGCCCCUAUCCUCAGAGUGAGCCCCAACGUCUUCCAGAGAUCAGCAUGAGUGAAACCAUCAAGGAACUUGCUCCACCCCUAGCCCCAGCCCAUCACUGCACAGGGACCACGAACUCCCCUUUCUCCCUACGGUCCAGCUUAAGCUUGCCAUAGCUCUCAACCCAUCCUGACCCUUCCUUCCAGGCCCUCCUACCUGAUCUUGUUG
Long non-coding RNA from Mus caroli (Ryukyu mouse), 900 nucleotides. RefSeq lists it as uncharacterized. The record is from RefSeq and is a predicted model, not a curated record. NCBI's taxonomy places the organism in Eukaryota, Metazoa, Chordata, Mammalia, Rodentia, Muridae.